Stygiomarasmius scandens is the source of this 92-nucleotide non-coding RNA. Lineage: Eukaryota; Fungi; Basidiomycota; Agaricomycetes; Agaricales; Campanellaceae. The record is from the annotation of a GenBank genome assembly.
UCCCUGGUAGUAUAUCGGUUAGUACACGCGCCUGUCAUACGAGCGAGAAACUCCAUCCACGCGAAAGCUGGGUUCGACUCCCAGCCAGGGAG